Molecule: ribosomal RNA, 422 nt
Filed under: uncultured prokaryote
Description: bacterial SSU rRNA
Rfam family: Bacterial small subunit ribosomal RNA
Source: RNAcentral
UGAGGAAUAUUGGUCAAUGGGCGUAAGCCUGAACCAGCCAUCCCGCGUGCAGGAAGACGGCGCUAUGCGUUGUAAACUGCUUUUCCAGGGGAAGAAAACCUUCGACGUGUCGAAGCUUGCCGGUACCUUGGGAAUAAGCAUCGGCUAACUCCGUGCCAGCAGCCGCGGUAAUACGGAGGAUGCGAGCGUUAUCCGGAUUUAUUGGGUUUAAAGGGUGCGUAGGCGGAUUGAUAAGUCAGCGGUGAAACCCUUCAGCUUAACUGGAGACUUGCCAUUGAUACUGUCAGUCUUGAGUACGGUCAAGGUAGGCGGAAUGUGUAAUGUAGCGGUGAAAUGCUUAGAUAUUACACAGAACACCGAUUGCGAAGGCAGCUUACUGGACCAAUACUGACGCUGAGGCACGAAAGCGUGGGGAGCGAACA